AGUGUCGCUAGUUGACCGUUCGCCGAACCGAGUCGAAACGCAUGCGCGUUGCGUGAAAAGUGUUCGUUUCGUCGUGCGUCACAGAGAAGAAAAAGGGAGGAGAUUACUUUCCGUGUACAACCCGGUGUAUAUACCCAACGAAUCCAACGUUUGUUUGAGACAAAGUCAGGGUUAAAGCGAGGCUGAGUCUGUGGAAGCAGGGCGUAGCGAGGUUGGCGAAGCCAAGACAGCGAGCGAGCGAGCGAGGGUAUGGGGUGAGCGGAGGAGAGAAAGACGAGGCGAGGCGACGUGAGGCGAGGCGAAGCGAGGUGAGACGAGGGGUGGGGAGAGAAACGGCACAGGAUACGUUCGUUCGGUACGAACGAACGGUACGGAACGGAACGGAACGGAACGGAACGGAACUGUGCACCGUGCGACUUGUGUGUGUUGUGUGUGUGUUGUGUGUUUGUGUGUAUACGCCGAAGGAGAGAAGUGAAGUGAAGUGAAGAGGAGAGGAGAGAGAAAGACAGAGAGAGAGAGAGCCAGGUCGAGAUAUGCCCUGCCUACGGGUGCAACGACCCCGGUGACCUUUGUCCGGUCCGUGCUCCGGCCUGGCCCCGCUCGAUUCCACCGUCUCCUACCUCCAGGAGGGACGACGAUGCGCAUCAACCUACCACCGGCCAAUCUUCUUCCCGCUCGCCUUUCUAACCUGUGCCCGGUGUCGGCGAGAAUCGGCGAUCGCCAGCAACGGGCUGCUCGAGCCUCUCGCGCCUUGCCAAAGGAUUUGCACGAUGAAAUUUUCGUUAACCGAUUGACGGGGCCAGGAUGGGGGCUCCUUGCGAGGAGAGGAGUAGCAGUCGAGAAUUGACGCCUCUCUCUCUCUCUCUCUCUCUCUUUAUGCAGAAUUAUAUAUAGUGGAAUAUAUGUUAUUAUUGGAGGUGGAGAAUAAAAUGUAGGUUAGGAAGCGAUCGAAAGUGAAUUUCUCGACAAAAAUUUAGGAAUAAUUGUGAUGGAUUAUUUGAAGUAAUUGGAAUUAUUGUUCUCGAGACAUAGGAAUUUCGAUUGUUUGAAAUAAUUGAAAUUAAGAAAUAGUAAUCGAGAUUUAAGUUGUAUAGGUUAGGUAAUAAUCGAAAGUAAGAAUUACGAUGCUCUCGUAAGUAAAAGGUGGAUUGUUCGAAGUAAUUGAAAUUAAGAAGUAGUUUUCGAAAUUUGGAAAUAAGUUUGCAAUAAUAAUAAUAGUAUAAUAAUUUGAUAGUUCUCGAAACAUGGUUGUAAUUAUAAAAGAGCGUGGAUUGUUCGAAGUAAUUAAAAUUAAAAAGUAGUUUAGACUUGGGUUGUAUAGGUUAGGAAAUGAUUGAAAAUAAGAAAUAAAACUUAGGAAUAAGUUUGCAAUUAAAAUUAAGAAAUAGCUUUCUAGAAACUUUGGAUUUUGAAAUUAAUUGAAUUUGAUAUAAUAAUAAAUAAAAAUAAGUUUGCAAUCGAAUAUAAUAAGAACUUGAAUUAUUCGAGGUAAUUGAAAUUAAAAAGUAGUUAUCGAUGCUCUCCAAUAUGUGAUAGAACAAUAGAAAAUUGGGGAGAAAUUUUUAAAAAAAAUUACCGAUCGUCAAAUUGCACUUCAAAUCAUAUUUCGAUAUCCAACUUCAAUUCUUCCUUUCUCCAAUGGAAAACUAGCUCAACGAUCCGUACAAUGGAAUUCGUAAUGAGAUAAAAAAGAUGAAGAUUCCGCUCCCCGCUAUUUUAAAUGCUCGUCCUCUACCCCCCCCCCCCUCCCCUGGAAGUACGAGAGUACGCGGUUUGAAUAUAAAUUCCUUCCAAUUAACCAAUUUUUCACGGAGAAUAUGUUGUUACCGAGUGUAUAUAGCUGUAGAUUUAGAUACACGGAAACGGGAUUUUCUUGUUGUUAUUAAUGGGCCGCGCCGUUCGGAAACUUGGUCGAUUGAACUCGAUUAAACUCGGCAACUUUCGGAUUCGCGCGCACUCGGAAGAAUCAAAGAUGACGUACAAUGGGCCAUUACGGCCGAAAGCCGAAACCUCAUAUCCAUUGUAUCCAUCGACUUGAAACAAGAAUUUCUCUCCCCUCUCUCCGCCCGUGUUAUUUGAACGAAGAGUUAAAAAUAAUGGACCAUUAUAUUAUCCUACGAAGCUACCUCUUGUCCAUUGUGCAACUCUCUGUACACAAAGAAGAGCGGAGGAAAAAUCUACUCUUAUUCGAGGUUAAAAAACGACGUUUCAACGAGCCACUCUAUAUUUAGAAGAUGGAUCGCGAGCCGUUGGUUGAAGGUUGUCGGAUCUAGGAUCUAGUUCUCACGCGGGACGUGAAGGAGGAAAAUAAUCGUCGCGAUGGCGAGGUUUUACCCGUGAAAGUGUAUCCCAUCCCCAGUGGAGGGGAAGGACGGGUCAUCUUUCGAGGAUCCUCCAUCGAUUUUUUCGGUUAUACGUCGAAGAUGAUUCUUCGUAUUUAUAUAUAUAGAACUCGAGUUUGUGAAGCAAAGGAGGAUAGUUUGAUUAAUUGUUCGCUACGCGGCGCUGUUCGAGCGCUGUCUUCGCCUAUUUCGUCCAAUUCUGGAUGGAGCUUGGACGACUUUUAACCACCGUUCUUAUCGAUCUUCUCGACAAAACUCUUGUUCGCAAUUUUUUUUUAAUCCCUCGCCUCGGAGAUUUCGGAAUUUUCGAGAAUUCUCGUUGAUUCUGCAUCGACUUCUGCAAGAUAUGGGAAAUCUGCGCGAUCAAGAGAAAGGGAGGAAAAUCGCGUUUUAAGCGUUUAAGCGUUUUCGCGUUUGUAAUCGUUUCGGAUAAAAUGGUGGAAUCAUCGCUCUCUUCCUCCGUUUCUUGUUAUUCGAUGAAUGAGAAGAAAGUAGAUUUCACGUAGAUUUUUUUUUUUUUUUUUUUGAGAAAUUAUAUAGAAGUUUAGUGAAAUGAUAUCUCGAAAGAAGAUUUUCACGCCAAAUUUUUAUUUCGUUCGCGACAGAUAAAUUCCAUAGACAGAACUAAAUUAUAUUCUAAAAUUUCGUCGAUAAUAAUAACGUUAAACAAAAUGGCGGAUUAAUCUUUUCCCUCGUCGCUUACAGGACGAAAGUAGAUUUAUGGAUUUUGAGAAAUUAUAUUAUUUGUUAAAAAGAAAGUUUAAUUCUGUUGAAAAAAAAGAUUUUUUUAUUUUAUUUUUCGAAUUUAUUUCUCCAUUUAUAUCGCGAUCGAAGUAAAGUAAAAGCAAGAAUUAAUCCGCCAUUUUGUUCAGCGUUAUUUAUAGGUGAAAUUUUAGAAAUUACGACGCACACAUAAAAAAAAGUGUAUUUAUGGAAUUUAUCCGAGCUCCAUCUCUCGUGAAAAUAAAUUUUAAAAAUCUUUCGAACACGUCCUGUUUUUAGCAGGAUUGAAAAAAAGAAUUAAUCCGCCAUUUUGCUCAGCGUUGAUACGCACGGUUGAUAAAUAAACAUGCAUUUACGGAAUUUAUUUAUUCGAGCUCCAUCUCCCGUGAAGAUAAAUCCUGAAAUUUUUACCACUAGACUUUACCUCGAUAUAAUUUCUCGAAAUUUGAAAUCUCCUUUCUUCCAUUCCCCAAAAAUAACCAAACGGAAUCAAUCCUCCAUUUUGUUUCAACCGUUAAUGCCGUUUAACCAUUAUGCGCGCGAAUUAUGCGCACGAAGCGAUAAGUGAAAUACUAAGCGCAUGCAUUUACUAACUCCAUCUAUCGUGAAAACAAAUCUUGAAAAGUCUCGAAAUAUUUCGCACGAAACUUCUGAAAUUUUUCAAUGUAUAAUAAACCAUAUCGAUUUAAUUACAGUUACUCGUGAAAUGUUAGAAAUUAUAUAGUAGAUCACAUCAGUAAUCGUUCAGAAUUAGAGCGAAUACGAUUCGACGUUGAGCAUUGACUCGAUCUGUGGAUUCGUAGGAGCCGAUGUGCCAAGAAUUCUUCGGGAAAGAAGUGCGGAUAGAUGGAGCCGCGCACGAUACAGGAGAGCGAAGGAUCGUAGGAGCGGAAGGGAAGAAGGUAGAAAAUUAUAUCACACGGCAUCUCUCGGCUCUCUUCUCUACGUAACGCGCAUACGUAAUGAGGAAACGAACGACCGGCCGAACGAGAGCGCGCGCAUGCCGCGCUUCCCUUUCCACUCCUCCUUCCCCCUCCCCGCCCCUUACCUAUCCUUCGCUCCUAGGCCGCGUCACCAUUCGUUUUCAUCCUCGCGGGCCGUGAAACGAACGCUGCGAAGCGAGCGCGAUCGUUUCCUCCCGUUAACGAGAGAGUCGGCCGUGGGAUCUCGGGAAAAAGAUUUUCGAGAAAAAUUCCCUUGCAUAUGUAUAUGGCGUAUAUGUGGUGCAAGUAGUUUUUUUAAUUUGUUCGAUUGGAAUUUUGAGAAAAAUUAAUUUAAUCCUCGAUGAUUUUUUUUUUCUUCGCGGAAAAGAUUUCUCGAGAAUUUUGAAACGUGAAAUUUAUAAAAUUAUAAAUUUCAAUCUUUUCUAUAAUUCAAGAUAGAAUUUUGGAUUUUAAGAUGUUAAGAUGUAAAUUUGAGAAAAAAUUUAUCGAUUCAAUAUUAUCAAUUUCAAUCUUCUCUAAUUUCCCUUUAUCGAAACGAGUGGAACUCAAAAUUCUUCUCUACGACAAUAUUCGUGGAUGGAAUUUUGUCUAAAAAAUACGAAAGUUUCAAUCCUGUUUAAUUUUUCUGAAUUUAAAAAAAAAAACUUCUCUAAUCUUUCUCUAAUAAUCUCUUAACAUUUCAUCGAAAUAAGAAAUAAGCAAGAAUAUAGAAAAUAAUAUAUUGUUUAUUACAUAAUUAUAUUAUCACAUAAAUUAGGCGAGCAAGAAUAUAGAAAGAAAAGAAGAACUGGAAAUUCACAACACUUGUUUGUUACUUUUGCCGAGGAAAAAAAGAUAAACAAAUAAAUCAUCAUUGCGAAGCAAAUUAAAUAUUAAGAUAAAAGGCGAAUGUACAAUAUAUAUAUAUACUCGCGGUUUCUUGGCGCGGUUUCGUAAUCUCUCGAACCGUCUUUCAAAUAAAAAUAUAUCUCGCUCGACGCGAAAGAUUAUUACGCUUAAUAGCUCUUUUUUUUGCCGGCUCGGUCUCGCUUAGAAAAAGGAAAAACCUAUAUAUAUAUAUAUAUAUAUAUAUAUAUAUAUAUAUAUAUAUAUAAAAGGCCAUGUUCUCGAUAUACCCGUUGGCCGUGAAGUUUUUCACCAUGUCACGUAUAUCAUAGAUCAACAACGACCAACUUUAUUCCACGUAAUUCCGCGACAAAAACUGCGUUUAUGCGCAGGUUUUUUUCUCCCCUCCCCUCCCUCCUUACCCACGUCUUGCGAAGAUAUCUAUGUCUGGCGACAAUUUUUUCCAACGAGUUUAUCGUUUAAAACGUUGCAACGUUGCAAAUCUUCAGGGAAGAAAAAAAAAAAAAAAAGAAAAA
This 5370-nucleotide long non-coding RNA is filed under the name Apis mellifera (honey bee). Its description in RNAcentral is "uncharacterized LOC102656753, transcript variant X1". Lineage: Eukaryota; Metazoa; Arthropoda; Insecta; Hymenoptera; Apidae. The record is from RNAcentral.